Molecule: ribosomal RNA, 730 nt
Filed under: uncultured bacterium
Lineage: Bacteria
Description: bacterial SSU rRNA
Rfam family: Bacterial small subunit ribosomal RNA
Source: RNAcentral
AACAGGAUUAGAUACCCUGGUAGUCCACGCCGUAAACGAUGUCGACUUGGAGGUUGUUCCCUUGAGGAGUGGCUUCCGGAGCUAACGCGUUAAGUCGACCGCCUGGGGAGUACGGCCGCAAGGUUAAAACUCAAAUGAAUUGACGGGGGCCCGCACAAGCGGUGGAGCAUGUGGUUUAGUUCGAUGCAACGCGAAGAACCUUACCUACUCUUGACAUCCAGAGAACUUAGCAGAGAUGCUUUGGUGCCUUCGGGAACUCUGAGACAGGUGCUGCAUGGCUGUCGUCAGCUCGUGUUGUGAAAUGUUGGGUUAAGUCCCGCAACGAGCGCAACCCUUAUCCUUUGUUGCCAGCGGUUCGGCCGGGAACUCAAAGGAGACUGCCAGUGAUAAACUGGAGGAAGGUGGGGAUGACGUCAAGUCAUCAUGGCCCUUACGAGUAGGGCUACACACGUGCUACAAUGGCGCAUACAAAGAGAAGCGACCUCGCGAGAGCAAGCGGACCUCAUAAAGUGCGUCGUAGUCCGGAUCGGAGUCUGCAACUCGACUCCGUGAAGUCGGAAUCGCUAGUAAUCGUAGAUCAGAAUGCUACGGUGAAUACGUUCCCGGGCCUUGUACACACCGCCCGUCACACCAUGGGAGUGGGUUGCAAAAGAAGUAGAUAGCUUAACCUUCGGGAGGGCGUUUACCACUUUGUGAUUCAUGACUGGGGUGAAGUCGUAACAAGGUAACC